GCACUUGGAGCCUGCACCACUUUGAUGGCGGAUUGUUAAUCCGCAGGUUCCGGGUUCAAGUCCCGGGGGUGCACCA
RNAcentral lists this transfer RNA (76 nucleotides) under bacterium. RNAcentral describes it as "tRNA-OTHER". It matches the Rfam family "tRNA". Rfam says of the family: Transfer RNA (tRNA) molecules are approximately 80 nucleotides in length. Their secondary structure includes four short double-helical elements and three loops (D, anti-codon, and T loops). The record is from RNAcentral. RNAcentral also lists the same sequence under 2 other names.